CAUGUGUGUAAUGGCCCUCAUGUAUCAUGUCUCUUCUGUAGGACAGGUGUUCAUCAGGCAAGUCAAUUUCAAUCAGUUCCUCCCUGCCUCACCAAAGUUACCUUGUCCCAUGAUGGUGCUGCAACUCUCAAUGCCACACAGCUUCUUUCAGCCUCUGUCAGGGCAAGGGGAGAGCACUCUUGCUGGAAGAU
Molecule: long non-coding RNA, 191 nt
Organism: Megalops cyprinoides (Indo-Pacific tarpon)
Lineage: Eukaryota; Metazoa; Chordata; Actinopteri; Elopiformes; Megalopidae
Exons: 3
Source: RefSeq, a predicted model, not a curated record